Episyrphus balteatus (marmalade hoverfly) is the source of this 1378-nucleotide long non-coding RNA. RefSeq lists it as uncharacterized. The transcript has 4 exons. The record is from RefSeq and is a predicted model, not a curated record. NCBI's taxonomy places the organism in Eukaryota, Metazoa, Arthropoda, Insecta, Diptera, Syrphidae.
UACACUUAUUAAAUGUCAUAUUCCAUUAAACGACAGCUGUAGUUGACAGAUAUACGACAAAAAAAUAAUAUUAUUUAAAUCAAUUAGGAAAAACAAACAACACAAAUCAAUGAUUCACGGGUGCAAUAUCUUCCGCCGAAAAGAAAAUAUUUCAUAACAUUAGGUACAGCUCAAAGGAAUCGAUCUCCCAAAAUGUUAUCUAGUUGUUGGAUGGAUAGAGCUAGAGUCACACAGGCAUACCACGCCAUAUAAGUGGCACCCAAUUUCGCACAAGAACAAUUUAGUUGCAGUUCCGAUGUGAAAAUUCUUAAUCCCGAAGUUAUAGCUUGCUCACUUGCCGCAAGUGUAGUUGAACUUCCAAAGAGCAUUGUUGAAAGUAAUCGUAUAUCAAUCAUCAACUGAAAAUCAAUCAAUAGACCUAUCGGAAACUUUAAUCCAACAAUUUAUUCGAUUCAAAAUCGAAAAAAAAGAGACUCAGGAAGAAAACUUGGAGAAUUGUUCCAAUAGCCAAAUUAAUAAAAUAAGUCCUAACGUAAGUGUUGAUGAUGAAUUGAAACCCAUAACCUACGGCGGAAGGUAAAAAAUUUACAAAUUGCAUUGAAGCGCAAAAACUCUUACCAAAGCUGCUAAUUGGUGCUGCAGUCGAUCUAUCAACGGCAAUCGCUCUCAUAAAUAAAUAGUGUGCCAAAUUACCCAGUGAUACAUUCACCAACCUAACUCCAUUAUCGAGAUAUGCAAAGACAAAGCGUUGUGGCAAAGAUAUUGUAUCAAUAUACACUUCAUUUGCCUAUAAAUUCGUUUUUAAAAUAUGACAUAAUGGGACUACCAGUGCCAACGGAAAUCCUUGCAAGACGAAUGGUUACCCGUUCAGGCAUGUCGAGAGUUGCAUAUGUAUGGAGAACUGGACAACACCUUGCACACAAUUGGGAAAGAAGGAUUUAAAGUACUGCGAGUCUCAUUGGGAGGAAAAAAUUGACGAUCAAUUUGUUAAAGAUAGCGAAGAACCACGACCUAGUACAACCAAAACCAAACAUCAACAAUAUUAUUACAAACGAUUUUGUAAUUGUCGACUUACUGCUGGUGCUGUAUUCUAUUUGUACUACAUUAAUCUAACCCUCCGAUGUUGAUUAAACCGAAAAUUGUGUCUUCAAUGUUCCCACAAUAAAAACUAGAAAAAGUGCAAUUGUCAUUGAUUGGGAUUUCCUAUAGGUUAUUGCAAUGACCAGUGACACCACCAUGGGCUUCAUAACACAACUUUGUUUUGUUUAGAUAAAUUUAGCUUUUGUUUUUUUAAUUUUUUUCCAAUAAAAAAUAAUAGCUGUGGUACAUUUUAAGCCUUUUGAAUUUUAAAAAUAAAAAAUGUAUACUUUUGCAUAAA